UUCAUUCUUGUUGAGAAUGGCCCCAAAACCCCAAAGAGAUGUGAAUUGAAAACCACAAGAAGAUGAGGCAUUGUGCAGAGGGUGGGUUUCUAUCUCUGAAGAUGGGGCUAUUGGCACAAAUCAAACAAAUGACUCAUUUUGGCUGCGUGUGUUCCAAAAGUUUUUGGAAAACGAUCCGGGCAUGAGCGGAGCCAAGGUACGAUCACCGCAAGCAAUUGCUUCUUUGUUCAAGAUCAUCAACCAACAAUGUUCUCUUUAGAAGGCAUGUAUGACAAAGGCCAAUGCAAGGCAUGUGAGUGGCUCCAAUCUUGAAGAUGUGGCGAGUACCCAUUUUUUUCAAUGCUUAAAUUUAUAAUUUUAAUUCUUUUCAAUUAUUAACUUGAAUUUUAUUUUAUUUCAUGGGUAGGAUAUGAAUGCAAAAACACUUUUCUUGAAUGAUAAUAAUCCUCCGAAUAGGGCUUUCAAGUUGUGUCAUGCUUGGAGGAAGAUGAAGACGAUGCGAUCAUGCCCACUCCAAGGCCGUUGGGAAGAGAUAAACAGAAUGAUGAAAAAAGAAAGGGAAAGGUGUUGAAGGUUAUCUCAACCAAAGUGGAAAGUUCUUGUCUGAAUUGGUUCAACAAGGAAAUGAGGCAAAAGAGGAUAGGAGGCAAAAGUUAGAGCUCCUACAAGAGCAACAUGCCUAUUAAAUCCAACAAGAUAAGGAGGCCAAUGAAUUGAGGAUAAUGUCCAUGGACCUAUCCAAAUUUACUCCAAGAAAGAAGAAAUAUUGGAGGAAUAAGCAAGACGAAAUUACUGAGGCCCAGAUGAAUACAAGUUCCCCCUACAAUCCAGAAGACAACUCUAUAGACUAUUAUCCAAGCCCUACACAUAGUGGUUAUUAAUUUAUGUUUAUUUGUAAUUGUUGUUUAUCUUUAUUUAUAAUUG
This 924-nucleotide long non-coding RNA is filed under the name Prunus dulcis (almond). RNAcentral's name for it is "sRNA ncRNA". The record is from RNAcentral. Lineage: Eukaryota; Viridiplantae; Streptophyta; Magnoliopsida; Rosales; Rosaceae.